This 433-nucleotide ribosomal RNA is filed under the name uncultured bacterium. Its description in RNAcentral is "partial 16S ribosomal RNA". It matches the Rfam family "Bacterial small subunit ribosomal RNA", at positions 29 to 507 of the family's 1533-position model. The record is from RNAcentral.
AGCGAACGCUGGCGGCAGGCUUAACACAUGCAAGUCGAGCGGGCCCUUCGGGGUCAGCGGCGGACGGGUGAGUAACGCGUGGGAACGUGCCUUCUGGUCUGGAAUAACCCUGGGAAACUAGGGCUAAUACCGGAUACGCCCUUUUGGGGAAAGGUUUACUGCCGGAAGAUCGGCCCGCGUCUGAUUAGCUAGUUGGUGGGUUAACGGCCUACCAAGGCGACGAUCAGUAGCUGGUCUGAGAGGAUGAUCAGCCACACUGGGACUGAGACACGGCCCAGACUCCUACGGGAGGCAGCAGUGGGGAAUAUUGGACAAUGGGCGCAAGCCUGAUCCAGCCAUGCCGCGUGAGUGAUGAAGGCCUUAGGGUUGUAAAGCUCUUUUAUCCGGGACGAUAAUGACGGUACCGGAGGAAUAAGCCCUGGCUAACUUCGUG